Long non-coding RNA from Gossypium raimondii (Peruvian cotton), 673 nucleotides. RefSeq lists it as uncharacterized. The record is from RefSeq and is a predicted model, not a curated record. The transcript is spliced from 3 exons. NCBI's taxonomy places the organism in Eukaryota, Viridiplantae, Streptophyta, Magnoliopsida, Malvales, Malvaceae.
AUUCAAUGUUUGUUGUUUCUCCGGAAUAGCUUUGAAUUCUGAAAUAGUGACAAUAGAGUACCACAACAAGCUUGUCCUUGCUCCCAUGGUUCGAGUUGAACGCUACCGCUUAGGUUACUAGCUGCUGAUUAUGGUGCGGAUAUUACCUAUGCCAAGGAAGUUUUUUUAUCAAAAAAUGAUCAAAUACGAGCGCAUGGUUAAAGAUUUGAUCGGGUCUACUGAUUUGGUCGAGAAGGGAAGUGAUCUAAAGGCUGCUCAAAUUGUGUAUGUUUAUUCCUUUGACAUCCUUUCUUUUUUUGUCUUUUCGCUCAUGAAACUUGUGAUAAUGCCCCCUACGGACACUCGUUGGACACAUCUGGAUACGUAUGGGACACAUUAGAAUACAUAAAAAAAAUUUGACACGGUCCCAAUACUGUGACGAUGGAUAGAGGCGCCAAAUUGAAAAACCCUAGUUGAGAGUGAAAGGAGAGGCAGAGUUUAAGAUUUGUUUUUCUCCUGUUUUUUCGUGAAAGGAAUGAAAGACUAAAAGUAAGGCUGAAAGUUUUAGGGCUUUUUUAAAAGAGAUGAAAGGUUUUUUUUUUUCUCAGAAAAAUUUGAAGCAGUCUAAGGCCUGACUUGGCUAUUUGUAAUUAAUUUAAAAUAUUGGGUUGGAUUGCCUUUUUGGUUUAUUAUU